Molecule: unclassified non-coding RNA, 391 nt
Filed under: Hevea brasiliensis (rubber tree)
Lineage: Eukaryota; Viridiplantae; Streptophyta; Magnoliopsida; Malpighiales; Euphorbiaceae
Source: RNAcentral
AUUUGAUAUGUUUUGGUAGAAUGAUUCCUUGAAAAUUUUGACCUUGAUCUUUUGCUUAUUUAGAAGGUGUAUUUUUAAUAUUUAUAUUGUUUCUUGUGAGGUAUCUUAUGCAGUUAGGUAUAAUGGAUGGCCAAAUAUUUUUGAUAUGUUAAGUUUAAAAGUUGUAAGAAUUUCUAUAUGUAGGAAGAGAGUGAAAGAAUGUGUAUUUUGGUUGAUACAUAUUAAAGUGUUCAUUGUUGCUUGCGAGGAUAGCAAAUGACUCACAAUAUAACUUUUCUUGUUGGGACCCAUGCUAUUAGCUUUUUAAUGAAAUUUAGUUUAAAGAAAAAAGAGAUAAUUCAUUAUUGGUAGGAGGCAUCGUAGAGAACCUUGGGGUAGAACCUUUCUUGUU